UUAGAGUUUGAUCCUGGCUCAGGAUGAACUCUAGCGGCAGGCUUAACACAUGCAAGUCGAGGGGCAGCAGGGGGUAGCAAUAUCCUGCUGGCGACCGGCGGACGGGUGCGUAACGCGUAUGCGACCUACCCUUAACAGAGGGAUAACCUAAGGAAACUUGGACUAAUACCUCAUAUAAUUAUGUCCUUGCAUGGGGAUAUAAUGAAAGGAUGGAGACAUUGGUUAGGGAUGGGCAUGCGUGACAUUAGCUAGUUGGUGAGGUAACGGCGUCACCAAGGCGACGAUGUCUAGGGGAGCUGAGAGGCUAGACCCCCACACUGGUACUGAGACACGGACCAGACUCCUACGGGAGGCAGCAGUGAGGAAUAUUGGUCAAUGGACGGAAGUCUGAACCAGCCAUGCCGCGUGAGGGAAGGAGGCCCUAUGGGUUGUAAACCUCUUUUUAUCGGGAGCAAUAAGGGGGGUGCGCCCUCUGAUGAGAGUACUGAUAGAAUAAGCAUCGGCUAACUCCGUGCCAGCAGCCGCGGUAAUACGGAGGAUGCGAGCGUUAUCCGGAUUUAUUGGGUUUAAAGGGUGCGUAGGCGGACUAAUAAGUCAGUGGUGAAAGACACGGGCUCAACCGGUGUAUUGCCAUUGAUACUGAUAGACUAGAGAGUAGUUGGCGCUGGCGGAAUGUGUCAUGUAGCGGUGAAAUGCAUAGAGAUGACACAGAACACCGAUCGCGAAGGCAGCUAGCGAAGCUAUAUCUGACGCUGAGGCACGAAAGCGUGGGGAUCGAACAGGAUUAGAUACCCUGGUAGUCCACGCAGUAAACGAUG
Molecule: ribosomal RNA, 818 nt
Filed under: uncultured bacterium
Lineage: Bacteria
Description: bacterial SSU rRNA
Rfam family: Bacterial small subunit ribosomal RNA
Source: RNAcentral